GCAAACUUGGUCAUUUAGAGGAAGUAAAAGUCGUAACAAGGUUUCCGUAGGUGAACCUGCGGAAGGAUCAUUAUUGAAUUAAAAAUUGGUCAGGCUGUUGCUGAUCCUCAGGGAUAUAAUAUAUGUGCACGCCUGCUACCAACUUUUUAUUUGAACCACCUGUGCACCCUUUGUAGAUGCUAGAUGAAUCAAUGUUGUUCUUUCGAGUGACACUUGGUUUGAAGGAUAUGCUCAGCUUUCCUUGUACAGAGUCUGGCUCUGCGUCUUUCUCAUAUACAUACACCGCAUGUCACAGAAUGUCAUUUUGGUAGGCAUGUAUUUGCCUUUAAAAAUAUGUAAUACAACUUUCAACAACGGAUCUCUUGGCUCUCGCAUCGAUGAAGAACGCAGC
This 391-nucleotide unclassified non-coding RNA is filed under the name uncultured fungus. RNAcentral's name for it is "partial contains small subunit ribosomal RNA, internal transcribed spacer 1, and 5.8S ribosomal RNA". The stretch from base 1 to 73 matches the Rfam family "Eukaryotic small subunit ribosomal RNA", at positions 1759 to 1831 of the family's 1831-position model. The record is from RNAcentral. Lineage: Eukaryota; Fungi.